GAAAUCUAUACAUAUAAUAAAAUCGUAGAAAAGUGCUGUCUGUACAUUGAAAAUAAAAAUAAAAAAAAUAGCAGGGGUUAUUGUUAUGUCGAUGUCGAACCCAAAAAUGUACUUAACUUUUUUUUUGUCUGUUUGUCUGUUUGUCUGUUUGUCUGUUUGUCUGUUUGUCUGUUCGUCUGUGCGCGCUAAUCUCAGAAACGGCUGAUCCGAGUUGGAUGCGGUUUUCACGAAUAUAUUGUGGGAUGCUUAAAUUUACAUUUAGUGUUUGUUUCAUGUCAAUCGGUUCAUAAAUAAAAAAGUUAUGUCAAAUUAAAGAAUCACGUCGAACAUUCUAUGCUUAUACCAUUAAUCUCCGCAACUAUUUGACGGAUUUGGCUGAAAUUUGGUACAGAUAUAGUUUAGAACCUUAGAAAGGACAUAGAUAUAUUUUUAUUUCAAAAAUCAAAAAAUAAAAAUAAGAAAUAAAUUAUUUAUAAAUAAUUCUAUGUCGAUCGUUACACGACUUCGGUUCAUGUUAUUGUUUUAAUUUAUCGAAAAAAGUAAAUAAAUAGUAAAAAGGUAUGAAAAAAAUAAUAUCAAUAUAAUAAAACAUUUAGUACAAAGAAAAUGCUCUAACGGAGUAUAGAUAAUUCUAUGUCGAUCGUUACACGACUUCGGUUCAUGUUAUUGUUUUAAUUCAUCGAAAAAAAGUAAAUAAAUAGUAAAAAGGUAUGAAAAAAAUAAUAUCAAUAUAAUAAAACAUUUAGUACAAAGAAAAUGCUCUAACGGAGUAUAGAUAAUUCUAUGUCGAUCGUUACACGACUUCGGUUCAUGUUAUUGUUUUAAUUCAUCGAAAAAAAGUAAAUAAAUAGUAAAAAGGUAUGAAAAAAAUAAUAUCAAUAUAAUUAAACUUUUAGUACAAAGAAAAUGCCCGAACGGAGUAUAAAUAAAUAAUCCAAGUUGUCUUUAUCCUCGAUAAAUGGCGUUGGGAUCGAAAUAGAUCGCGCUAUGGUUUCGUUACAUUCAUUUGGUUGGGUAUCGGCCGAGCGCUUCGGUACUAUCGUAGAAAAAGUGUAUUAUCAGUCGUAUGAUUAUUUCUCUGUAGUGGUCCUGCUGUUUCGUAUAUUCUAAAUUGGUUUCGUUGUAUUUGUCAAUUAAUAAGUUUAUUUGUUGGGUUUUCCUGGUUUUUUGGUUAAACUAUUUAACGUAGGUUUAGUUUGAUAUCGAUUAUUA
Spodoptera frugiperda (fall armyworm) is the source of this 1212-nucleotide long non-coding RNA. RefSeq lists it as uncharacterized. The record is from RefSeq and is a predicted model, not a curated record. Lineage: Eukaryota; Metazoa; Arthropoda; Insecta; Lepidoptera; Noctuidae. The transcript is spliced from 2 exons.